AGAAUGGUGAUGCAAUGGGUAGCACUGUUGCCUCACAGCAAGAAGGUCCUGGGUUCAAAUCUCAGCCUUUCUG
Molecule: transfer RNA, 73 nt
Filed under: Anguilla anguilla (European eel)
Lineage: Eukaryota; Metazoa; Chordata; Actinopteri; Anguilliformes; Anguillidae
Rfam family: tRNA
About the family: Transfer RNA (tRNA) molecules are approximately 80 nucleotides in length.
Source: Rfam by way of RNAcentral